CGUGUAGGCGGCGAUCUAAGUCGGGUGUGAAAUCCCUCGGCCCAACCGGGGAAUGGCAUUCGAUACUGGAUUGCUUGAGUGCGGUAGGGGCAAGUGGAACUCCAGGUGUAGCGGUGAAAUGCGUAGAUAUCUGGAGGAACGCCGGUGGCGAAAGCGACUUGCUGGACCGCAACUGACGCUGAGGCGCGAAAGCUAGGGGAGCAAACG
Molecule: ribosomal RNA, 207 nt
Filed under: uncultured bacterium
Lineage: Bacteria
Description: partial 16S ribosomal RNA
Rfam family: Bacterial small subunit ribosomal RNA
Source: RNAcentral